AUUGAACGCUGGCGGCAUGCCUUACACAUGCAAGUCGAACGGCAGCACGGGAGCAAUCCUGGUGGCGAGUGGCGAACGGGUGAGUAAAGUAUCGGAACGUACCUUUCAGUGGGGGAUAACGUAGCGAAAGUUACGCUAAUACCGCAUAUUCUGUGAGCAGGAAAGCAGGGGAUCGCAAGACCUUGCGCUGAUUGAGCGGCCGAUAUCAGAUUAGCUAGUUGGUGAGGUAAAGGCUCACCAAGGCGACGAUCUGUAGCGGGUCUGAGAGGAUGAUACGCCACACUGGAACUGGGACACGUUCCAGACUCCUACGGGAGGCAGCAGUGGGGAAUUUUGGACAAUGGGCGCAAGCCUGAUCCAGCCAUGCCGCGUGAGUGAAGAAGGCCUUCGGGUUGUAAAGCUCUGUCGGCCGGGAAGAAAUCGUGUGGGUUAAUACCCUGCAUGGAUGACGGUACCGGAAUAAGAAGCACCGGCUAACUACGUGCCAGCCGCCGCCGUAA
RNAcentral lists this ribosomal RNA (500 nucleotides) under uncultured bacterium. RNAcentral describes it as "partial 16S ribosomal RNA". It matches the Rfam family "Bacterial small subunit ribosomal RNA", at positions 30 to 523 of the family's 1533-position model. The record is from RNAcentral.